UACCCACCCUUAACAAACUACGAAUACCGUUGGUGGUACCAUGGCAGUUAGAACAUCGGGGCUAAGCUCGGUGCUCAAAAGGGAAACAGCCCAGACCAUCAUCUAAGGUCCCUAAAUUAACACUAAGUGGGAAACAAGGUGAAAUUUCUUAAACAGCGAGGAUGUUGGCUUAGAAGCAGCCAUUCAUUUAAAGAGUGCGUAACAGCUCACUAGUCAAGAGAUCUUGCGUGGAAAAUGUAACGGGGCUAAACGUAAUACCGAAGACAUGGGUCUAUGCAUUAGCAUGGGCGGUAGAGGAGCGUUCCUAUCGGCAGUGAAGCAGCAUUGUAAAGUGCUGUGGAGCGGUAGGAAGUGAGAAUGCUGGAAUGAGUAACCAUAAGAGAGGUGAGAAUCCUCUCGGCCGUAAGAGCAAGGUUUCCUGAGCUAUGGUAAUCAUCUCAGGGUUAGUCGGGCCUAAGCCGAGGCGCAGAGCGUAGGCGAUGGACAUCAGGUUAAUAUUCCUGAACCGGUUAAGUUUUGUACACUGUUCACGGGGAAGUAAUCGAAGCGGAUUCAUGGUUUAUCCGUCCAACCGAGCGGGAACGCAAAGGGAGUGAAAGUUACUCUGCGGAGUGAUGAUUCUGGAAAAGGCUCUGGCUAGAAAAGCAGGUGUACGCGUGGCUAUGUCCGCCCGUACCGCAAACCAACACAGGUGCUCGAGUCGAGUAGACUCAGGCUUACGAGCGAACCUUCGCUAAGGAACUCGGCAAUACAGCGACCGUAACUUCGGAAUAAGGUCUGCCCCCACUUCGGUGGAUAUGUUGUCGGUUUCAAAGCUAAUAGGUGUGGUUAAAGAGUAUCUUUAAUACAUCAAUUCUUCUUGAGAUAGAACCAAUAGCUUUUGGAACUGAAGCUCAACGCAUCUAGCGAUGUGGGGGCCGCAGCAAAAGAGCCCACGGAACUGUUUAUCAAAAACACAGGUCUCUGCUAACACGAAAGUGGAUGUAUAGGGGCUGACUCCUGCCCAGUGCUGGAAGGUUAAGGGGAGUGCUUUACGGUGCGAACUGAAGCCCCAGUGAACGGCGGCGGUAACUAUAACCGUCCUAAGGUAGCGAAAUUCCUUGUCAGGUAAGUUCUGACCCGCACGAAUGGAGUAAUCAUGUGGGCACUGUCUCAGCGAAGGACUCGGUGAAAGUGCAUUGGCGGUAAAGAUGCCGUCUGUCCAUACCAGGACGAGAAGACCCCAUGGAGCUUUACUACAGCUUUACAUUGACACGGGUUACAUCAUGUGUAGCAUAGGUGGGAGGCUUUGAAGCAGAUACGCCAGUAUUUGUGGAGUCACCAAGUGAAAUACCACCCUUGUUGUGAUUGUGUUCUCACGCUGACCGUUAUCCGGUUAGCGGACCGUGUAUGGUGGGUAGUUUAACUGGGGCGGUUGCCUCCUAAAGAGUAGCGGAGGCGUUCAAAGGUUGGCUAACUUCGGAUGGAAAUCGAAGUGAUAGUGUAUGCGCAUAAGCCAGCUUGACUGUGAGGAGUACAUUCCAAUCAGAGACGAAAGUCGGAGCAAGUGACCCGCUGUACGAACAUUUGUUCAUUGAAUGUGGGAUCGACAGCGCACACGGAUAAAAGUUACCCUGGGGAUAACAGGCUUAUAGCGCCCAAUAGUUCACAUAGACGGCGCUGUUUGGCACCUCGAUGUCGGCUCAUCACAUCCUGGAGGGGGAGCACCUUCCAAGGGUUCGGCUGUUCGCCGAUUAAAGUGGUACGCGAGCUGGGUUCAGAACGUCGUGAGACAGUUCGGUUUAUAUCCGGUAUGGACGUCAGGAAAUUUGCGAGGAUUUGCCCCUAGUACGAGAGGACCGGGGUGAACGCACCGCUGGUGUACGGAUUGUGGCCACCUGCUGCAUUGUCCGGUAGCUAUGUGCGGACCAGAUAAGCGCUGAAAGCAUAUUAAGCGCGAAACUGACUCCAAGAUUAGGAAUCCCAUGAGGACACAGAAAGAUGAUCUGUUUGAUAGGCGCAAGGUGUAAACCUGGUAACAGGCUAGCCAAAGCGUACUAAUAGUCCAAUCGCCUUUUUAU
This 2060-nucleotide ribosomal RNA is filed under the name human oral metagenome. RNAcentral's name for it is "bacterial LSU rRNA". It matches the Rfam family "Bacterial large subunit ribosomal RNA", at positions 937 to 2925 of the family's 2925-position model. The record is from RNAcentral.